AACGCUAGCUACAGGCUUAACACAUGCAAGUCGAGGGGCAGCAUGAGAUUAGCUUGCUAAUCUUGAUGGCGACCGGCGCACGGGUGAGUAACGCGUAUCCAACCUUCCCUUUACUCUGGGAUAGCCCGGUGAAAACCGGAUUAACACCGGAUGGGUUCACAUGACGGCAUCAGACUGUGAAUAAAGGUUACGGUAAAGGAUGGGGGUGCGUCUGAUUAGCUUGUUGGCGGGGUAACGGCCCACCAAGGCAACGAUCAGUAGGGGUUCUGAGAGGAAGGUCCCCCACAUUGGAACUGAGACACGGUCCAAACUCCUACGGGAGGCAGCAGUGAGGAAUAUUGGUCAAUGGACGAGAGCCUGAACCAGCCAAGUAGCGUGCAGGAUGACGGCCCUAUGGGUUGUAAACUGCUUUUGUACGGGAAUAAAGUGACCUACGUGUAGGUUUUUGCAUGUACCGUAAGAAUAAGGACCGGCUAAUUCCGUGCCAGCAGCCGCGGUAAUACGGAAGGUCCGGGCGUUAUCCGGAUUUAUUGGGUUUAAAGGGAGCGUAGGCCGUGCUUUAAGCGUGUUGUGAAAUGUAGGCGCCCAACGUCUGCACUGCAGCGCGAACUGGAGCACUUGAGUACGCAGGAAGUAGGCGGAAUUCGUCGUGUAGCGGUGAAAUGCUUAGAUAUGACGAAGAACUCCGAUUG
This 692-nucleotide ribosomal RNA is filed under the name uncultured bacterium. RNAcentral's name for it is "bacterial SSU rRNA". It matches the Rfam family "Bacterial small subunit ribosomal RNA", at positions 32 to 715 of the family's 1533-position model. The record is from RNAcentral.